AUACGUAGGUGGCGAGCGUUGUUCGGAUUUAUUGGGCGUAAAGGGUCUGUAGGAGGUUUGCUAAAUACGAGGUGAAAUCCGGGAGCUCAACUCCCGAAUUGCCUUGUAGACUGGCAGACUGGAGUACUGGAGAGGUAAGCGGAAUACCAGGUGUAGCGGUGGAAUGCGUAGAUAUCUGGUAGAACACCAAGAGCGAAGGCAGCUUGCUGGACAGUUACUGACUCUCAAAGACGAAAGCGUGGGGAGCAAACAGGAUUAGAUACCCUGGUAGUCCACGCCGUAAACGGUGUCAACUUGAUGUAGGGCGGUUCAGUCCGUUCUGUAUCGAAGCUAACGCGUUAAGUUGACCGCCUGGGGACUACGGCCGCAAGGCUAAAACUCAAAUGAAUUGACGGGG
Molecule: ribosomal RNA, 397 nt
Filed under: uncultured bacterium
Lineage: Bacteria
Description: partial 16S ribosomal RNA
Rfam family: Bacterial small subunit ribosomal RNA
Source: RNAcentral